AGAGUUUGAUCAUGGCUCAGAUUGAACGCUGGCGGCAUGCCUUACACAUGCAAGUCGAACGGUAACGGGCCUUCGGGUGCCGACGAGUGGCGAACGGGUGAGUAAUGCAUCGGAACGUACCUUCAGUGGGGGAUAACGUAGCGAAAGUUACGCUAAUACCGCAUAUUCUGUGAGCAGGAAAGCAGGGGAUCGCAAGACCUUGCGCUGAUUGAGCGGCCGAUGUCAGAUUAGCUAGUUGGUGAGGUAAAGGCUCACCAAGGCGACGAUCUGUAGCGGGGUCUGAGAGGAUGAUCCGCCACACUGGAACUGAGACACGGUCCAGACUCCUACGGGAGGCAGCAGUGGGGAAUUUUGGACAAUGGGGGCAACCCUGAUCCAGCCAUGCCGCGUGAGUGAAGAAGGCCUUCGGGUUGUAAAGCUCUUUCGGCCGGGAAGAAAUCGCAUGGGUUAACACCCUGUGCGGAUGACGGUACCGGCAUAAGAAGCACCGGCUAACUACGUG
This 502-nucleotide ribosomal RNA is filed under the name uncultured bacterium. RNAcentral's name for it is "bacterial SSU rRNA". It matches the Rfam family "Bacterial small subunit ribosomal RNA", at positions 8 to 507 of the family's 1533-position model. The record is from RNAcentral.